This 110-nucleotide unclassified non-coding RNA is filed under the name Oryza sativa (Asian cultivated rice). RNAcentral's name for it is "partial microRNA MIR472a-17 precursor". Lineage: Eukaryota; Viridiplantae; Streptophyta; Magnoliopsida; Poales; Poaceae. The record is from RNAcentral.
CUUCCUCCGUUUCAUAAUGUAAGUCAUUCUAGCAUUUCCCACAUUCAUAUUGAUGUUAAUGAAUGUGGGAAAUGCUAGAAUGACUUACAUUGUGAAACGGAGGGAGUACU